This 596-nucleotide ribosomal RNA is filed under the name Streptococcus mutans. Its description in RNAcentral is "bacterial SSU rRNA". It matches the Rfam family "Bacterial small subunit ribosomal RNA", at positions 368 to 958 of the family's 1533-position model. The record is from RNAcentral. Lineage: Bacteria; Bacillati; Bacillota; Bacilli; Lactobacillales; Streptococcaceae.
GCAAUGGACAAAGUCUGACCGAGCAACGCCGCGUGAGUGAAGAAGGUUUUCGGAUCGUAAAGCUCUGUUGUAAGUCAAGAACGUGUGUGAGAGUGGAAAGUUCACACAGUGACGGUAGCUUACCAGAAAGGGACGGCUAACUACGUGCCAGCAGCCGCGGUAAUACGUAGGUCCCGAGCGUUGUCCGGAUUUAUUGGGCGUAAAGGGAGCGCAGGCGGUCAGGAAAGUCUGGAGUAUAAGGCUAUGGCUCAACCAUAGUGUGCUCUGGAAACUGUCUGACUUGAGUGCAGAAGGGGAGAGUGGAAUUCCAUGUGUAGCGGUGAAAUGCGUAGAUAUAUGGAGGAACACCAGUGGCGAAAGCGGCUCUCUGGUCUGUCACUGACGCUGAGGCUCGAAAGCGUGGGUAGCGAACAGGAUUAGAUACCCUGGUAGUCCACGCCGUAAACGAUGAGUGCUAGGUGUUAGGCCCUUUCCGGGGCUUAGUGCCGGAGCUAACGCAAUAAGCACUCCGCCUGGGGAGUACGACCGCAAGGGUGAAACUCAAAGGAAUUGACGGGGGCCCGCACAGCGGUGGAGCAUGUGGUUUAUUCGAAGCA